This 195-nucleotide ribosomal RNA is filed under the name uncultured bacterium. Its description in RNAcentral is "partial 16S ribosomal RNA". It matches the Rfam family "Bacterial small subunit ribosomal RNA", at positions 329 to 539 of the family's 1533-position model. The record is from RNAcentral.
ACGUCGACACCUACGGGGGCAGCAGUGGGGAAUAUUGCACAAUGGGGGAAACCCUGAUGCAGCGAUGCCGCGUGAAGGAAGAAGUAUCUCGGUAUGUAAACUUCUAUCAGCAGGGAAGAAAAUGACGGUACCUGACUAAGAAGCCCCGGCUAACUACGUGCAGCAGCCGCGGUAAUCUGAGCGGGCUGGCAAGGC